CGCGUAGGCGGAUGCUUAAGUCAGAGGUGAAAGCCCAGGGCUCAACCUUGGAACUGCCUUUGAUACUGGGCAUCUUGAGUAUGGGAGAGGUGAGUGGAACUCCGAGUGUAGAGGUGAAAUUCGUAGAUAUUCGGAAGAACACCAGUGGCGAAGGCGACUCACUGGCCCAUUACUGACGCUGAGGCGCGAAAGCGUGGGGAGCAAACAGGAUUAGAUACCCUGGUAGUCCACGCUGUAAACGAUGAGUGCUAGUUGUCGGCAUGCAUGCAUGUCGGUGACGCAGCUAACGCAUUAAGCACUCCGCCUGGGGAGUACGGUCGCAAGAUUAAA
This 330-nucleotide ribosomal RNA is filed under the name uncultured bacterium. RNAcentral's name for it is "bacterial SSU rRNA". It matches the Rfam family "Bacterial small subunit ribosomal RNA", at positions 568 to 898 of the family's 1533-position model. The record is from RNAcentral.